GAAUGGCAGUGUAAGAGACUACCGCCGCAGCGGUAACGAUGCGGGCUGUGUAAACCCCAUCCGAAGCAAGACCGAAAAGAAAGCGACAGAUUGGCCCGAUCUGCUUUCAGGUGGGUUGCUUGAGAUAUUCGGUAACGGAUAUCCUAGAUAGAUGAUCAUUCACGACAUAACCCGGCUUAUCGUUCUGCUUAGUUU
This 195-nucleotide RNase P RNA is filed under the name Lachnospiraceae bacterium. Its description in RNAcentral is "partial RNase P RNA component class A". It matches the Rfam family "Bacterial RNase P class A", at positions 154 to 367 of the family's 367-position model. Rfam says of the family: Ribonuclease P (RNase P) is a ubiquitous endoribonuclease, found in archaea, bacteria and eukarya as well as chloroplasts and mitochondria. Its best characterised activity is the generation of mature 5'-ends of tRNAs by cleaving the 5'-leader elements of precursor-tRNAs. Cellular RNase Ps are ribonucleoproteins. The record is from RNAcentral. Lineage: Bacteria; Bacillati; Bacillota; Clostridia; Lachnospirales; Lachnospiraceae.